GACGAACGCUGGCGGUAUGCUUAACACAUGCAAGUCGAACGAGAAGUCUUUUAUUGAACCUUCGGGGGAUAUAAGAGACAGACAGUGGCGAACGGGUGAGUAACGCGUGGGCAACCUACCUAUCGGAGCGGGAUAGCCUCGAGAAAUCGGGAGUAAAACCGCAUAACACGGAUAUAUCGCAUGAUGAAUCCGUCAAAACUCCGGUGCCGAUAGAUGGGCCCGCGUCUGAUUAGCUAGUUGGUAAGGUAAGGGCUUACCAAGGCAACGAUCAGUAGCCGGUCUGAGAGGGCGAACGGCCACACUGGAACUGAGACACGGUCCAGACUCCUACGGGAGGCAGCAGUGGGGAAUAUUGCGCAAUGGGGGCAACCCUGACGCAGCAAUACCGCGUGAGUGAAGAAAG
RNAcentral lists this ribosomal RNA (403 nucleotides) under Pseudoramibacter alactolyticus. RNAcentral describes it as "bacterial SSU rRNA". It matches the Rfam family "Bacterial small subunit ribosomal RNA", at positions 28 to 414 of the family's 1533-position model. Lineage: Bacteria; Bacillati; Bacillota; Clostridia; Eubacteriales; Eubacteriaceae. The record is from RNAcentral.